RNAcentral lists this ribosomal RNA (465 nucleotides) under uncultured bacterium. RNAcentral describes it as "partial 16S ribosomal RNA". It matches the Rfam family "Bacterial small subunit ribosomal RNA", at positions 28 to 507 of the family's 1533-position model. The record is from RNAcentral.
GACGAACGCUGGCGGCGUGCUUAACACAUGCAAGUCGAACGGAAAGGCCCUGCUUGCAGGGUACUCGAGUGGCGAACGGGUGAGUAACACGUGGGUGAUCUGCCCUGCACUUCGGGAUAAGCUUGGGAAACUGGGUCUAAUACCGGAUAGGAACCAUCUUUAGUGUGGUGGUUGGAAAGUUUUUUCGGUGUAGGAUGAGCUCGCGGCCUAUCAGCUUGUUGGUGGGGUAAUGGCCUACCAAGGCGGCGACGGGUAGCCGGCCUGAGAGGGUGUACGGCCACAUUGGGACUGAGAUACGGCCCAGACUCCUACGGGAGGCAGCGGUGGGGAAUAUUGCACAAUGGGCGCGAGCCUGAUGCAGCGACGCCGCGUGGGGGAUGAAGGCCUUCGGGUUGUAAACUCCUUUCGCUAGGGACGAAGCUUUUUGUGACGGUACCUAGAUAAGAAGCACCGGCUAACUACGUG